CCUACGGGAGGCUGCAGUGGGGAAUAUUGGACAAUGGGGGGAACCCUGAUCCAGCCAUGCCGCGUGUGUGAAGAAGGCCCUCGGGUUGUAAAGCACUUUCAGUGAGGAAGAACGCCUGGUGGUUAAUACCCAUCAGGAAAGACAUCACUCACAGAAGAAGCACCGGCUAACUCCGUGCCAGCAGCCGCGGUAAUACGGAGGGUGCGAGCGUUAAUCGGAAUUACUGGGCGUAAAGCGCGCGUAGGUGGCUUGAUAAGCCGGUUGUGAAAGCCCCGGGCUCAACCUGGGAACGGCAUCCGGAACUGUCAAGCUAGAGUGCAUGAGAGGAAGGUAGAAUUCCCGGUGUAGCGGUGAAAUGCGUAGAGAUCGGGAGGAAUACCAGUGGCGAAGGCGGCCUUCUGGACUGACACUGACACUGAGGUGCGAAAGCGUGGGUAGCAAACAGGAUUAGAUACCCGUGUAGUC
RNAcentral lists this ribosomal RNA (465 nucleotides) under Vreelandella stevensii. Its description in RNAcentral is "partial 16S ribosomal RNA". It matches the Rfam family "Bacterial small subunit ribosomal RNA", at positions 338 to 795 of the family's 1533-position model. The record is from RNAcentral. Lineage: Bacteria; Pseudomonadati; Pseudomonadota; Gammaproteobacteria; Oceanospirillales; Halomonadaceae.